Non-coding RNA from Triticum aestivum (bread wheat), 90 nucleotides. The record is from Rfam. Lineage: Eukaryota; Viridiplantae; Streptophyta; Magnoliopsida; Poales; Poaceae.
AAAAUACUCCCUCCGUCCCAAAAUAAGUGUCGCUGAUUUAGUAGUUGUACUAAAUCAGCGACACUUAUUUUGGGACGGAGGGAGUACCUU